Non-coding RNA from Microcebus murinus (gray mouse lemur), 343 nucleotides. NCBI's taxonomy places the organism in Eukaryota, Metazoa, Chordata, Mammalia, Primates, Cheirogaleidae. The record is from RefSeq and is a predicted model, not a curated record.
AAUCAUGGAUGCUGCUAAUUUUGAGCAGUUUUUGCAAGAGAGAAUCAAAGUGAACGGAAAAGCUGGAAAUCUCGGGGGAGGGGUUGUGACCAUCGAGAGAAGCAAGAGCAAGAUCACUGUCACUUCUGAGGUGCCUUUUUCUAAAAGGUAUUUGAAAUAUCUCACCAAAAAAUAUUUGAAGAAGAACAAUCUACGUGAUUGGUUGCGUGUAGUUGCUAACAGCAAAGAGAGUUACGAAUUACGUUACUUCCAAAUUAACCAGGAUGAAGAAGAGGAGGAAGAUGAGGAUUAAAAUUCAUUUAUUUGGAAUAUUUUGUAUAAGUUCUUAAAUAAAACAUCGGAA